UUAAGCGACUAAGCGUACACGGUGGAUGCCCUGGCAGUCAGAGGCGAUGAAGGACGUGCUAAUCUGCGAAAAGCGUCGGUAAGGUGAUAUGAACCGUUAUAGCCGGCGAUGUCCGAAUGGGGAAACCCAGUGCAAUUCGUUGCACUAUCGUUAACUGAAUACAUAGGUUAACGAGGCGAACCGGGGGAACUGAAACAUCUAAGUACCCCGAGGAAAAGAAAUCAACCGAGAUUCCCCCAGUAGCGGCGAGCGAACGGGGAGCAGCCCAGAGUCUGAAUCAGCUUGUGUGUUAGUGGAACGGUCUGGAAAGUCCGACGGUACAGGGUGAUAGUCCCGUACACCAAAAUGCACAGGUUGUGAACUCGAAGAGUAGGGCGGGACACGUGGUAUCCUGUCUGAAUAUGGGGGGACCAUCCUCCAAGGCUAAAUACUCCUGACUGACCGAUAGUGAACCAGUACCGUGAGGGAAAGGCGAAAAGAACCCCGGCGAGGGGAGUGAAAAAGAACCUGAAACCGUGUACGUACAAGCAGUGGGAGCACCUUUAUGGUGUGACUGCGUACCUUUUGUAUAAUGGGUCAGCGACUUAUAUUCUGUAGCAAGGUUAACCGUAUAGGGGAGCCGCAGGGAAACCGAGUCUUAACUGGGCGUUAAGUUGCAGGGUAUAGACCCGAAACCCGGUGAUCUAGCCAUGGGCAGGUUGAAGGUUGGGUAACACUAACUGGAGGACCGAACCGACUAAUGUUGAAAAAUUAGCGGAUGACUUGUGGCUGGGGGUGAAAGGCCAAUCAAACCGGGAGAUAGCUGGUUCUCCCCGAAAGCUAUUUAGGUAGCGCCUCGUGAAYUCAUCUUCGGGGGUAGAGCACUGUUUCGGCUAGGGGGUCAUCCCGACUUACCAACCCGAUGCAAACUACGAAUACCGAAGAAUGUUAUCACGGGAGACACACGGCGGGUGCUAACGUCCGUCGUGAAGAGGGAAACAACCCAGACCGCCAGCUAAGGUCCCAAAGUCAUGGUUAAGUGGGAAACGAUGUGGGAAGGCACAGACAGCCAGGAUGUUGGCUUAGAAGCAGCCAUCAUUUAAAGAAAGCGUAAUAGCUCACUGGUCGAGUCGGCCUGCGCGGAAGAUGUAACGGGGCUAAACCAUGCACCGAAGCUGCGGCAGCGACACUAUGUGUUGUUGGGUAGGGGAGCGUUCUGUAAGCCUGCGAAGGUGACCUGUGAGGGUUGCUGGAGGUAUCAGAAGUGCGAAUGCUGACAUAAGUAACGAUAAAGCGGGUGAAAAGCCCGCUCGCCGGAAGACCAAGGGUUCCUGUCCAACGUUAAUCGGGGCAGGGUGAGUCGACCCCUAAGGCGAGGCCGAAAGGCGUAGUCGAUGGGAAACAGGUUAAUAUUCCUGUACUUGGUGUUACUGCGAAGGGGGGACGGAGAAGGCUAUGUUAGCCGGGCGACGGUUGUCCCGGUUUAAGCAUGUAGGCGGAGGUUCCAGGUAAAUCCGGUACCUUUUAACGCUGAGGUGUGAUGACGAGGCACUACGGUGCUGAAGUAACAAAUGCCCUGCUUCCAGGAAAAGCCUCUAAGCAUCAGGUAACAUUAAAUCGUACCCCAAACCGACACAGGUGGUCAGGUAGAGAAUACCAAGGCGCUUGAGAGAACUCGGGUGAAGGAACUAGGCAAAAUGGUGCCGUAACUUCGGGAGAAGGCACGCUGGUGUGUAGGUGAAGUCCCUGCGGAUGGAGCUGAGACCAGUCGAAGAUACCAGCUGGCUGCAACUGUUUAUUAAAAACACAGCACUGUGCAAACACGAAAGUGGACGUAUACGGUGUGACGCCUGCCCGGUGCCGGAAGGUUAAUUGAUGGGGUUAUCCGUAAGGAGAAGCUCUUGAUCGAAGCCCCGGUAAACGGCGGCCGUAACUAUAACGGUCCUAAGGUAGCGAAAUUCCUUGUCGGGUAAGUUCCGACCUGCACGAAUGGCGUAAUGAUGGCCAGGCUGUCUCCACCCGAGACUCAGUGAAAUUGAACUCGCUGUGAAGAUGCAGUGUACCCGCGGCAAGACGGAAAGACCCCGUGAACCUUUACUAUAGCUUGACACUGAACAUUGAGCCUUGAUGUGUAGGAUAGGUGGGAGGCUUUGAAGCGUGGACGCCAGUCUGCGUGGAGCCAACCUUGAAAUACCACCCUUUAAUGUUUGAUGUUCUAACGUWGGCCCCUWAUCGGGGUUGCGGACAGUGUCUGGUGGGUAGUUUGACUGGGGCGGUCUCCUCCCAAAGAGUAACGGAGGAGCACGAAGGUUAGCUAAUCCUGGUCGGACAUCAGGAGGUUAGUGCAAUGGCAUAAGCUAGCUUGACUGCGAGCGUGACGGCGCGAGCAGGUGCGAAAGCAGGUCAUAGUGAUCCGGUGGUUCUGAAUGGAAGGGCCAUCGCUCAACGGAUAAAAGGUACUCCGGGGAUAACAGGCUGAUACCGCCCAAGAGUUCAUAUCGACGGCGGUGUUUGGCACCUCGAUGUCGGCUCAUCACAUCCUGGGGCUGAAGUAGGUCCCAAGGGUAUGGCUGUUCGCCAUUUAAAGUGGUACGCGAGCUGGGUUUAGAACGUCGUGAGACAGUUCGGUCCCUAUCUGCCGUGGGCGCUGGAGAAUUGAGGGGGGCUGCUCCUAGUACGAGAGGACCGGAGUGGACGCAUCACUGGUGUUCGGGUUGUCAUGCCAAUGGCACUGCCCGGUAGCUAAAUGCGGAAGAGAUAAGUGCUGAAAGCAUCUAAGCACGAAACUUGCCCCGAGAUGAGUUCUCCCUGAGACUWUAAGUCUCCUGAAGGAACGUUGAAGACGACGACGUUGAUAGGCCGGGUGUGUAAGCGCAGCGAUGCGUUGAGCUAACCGGUACUAAUGAACCGUGAGGCUUAACCU
Molecule: ribosomal RNA, 2902 nt
Filed under: Klebsiella variicola
Lineage: Bacteria; Pseudomonadati; Pseudomonadota; Gammaproteobacteria; Enterobacterales; Enterobacteriaceae
Description: 23S ribosomal RNA
Source: RNAcentral